UAAAGGCCCAUAAUUACAACAAGUCUCGGCAAAAACCGACGACAAUUCUUCGACCUCCUGCGCCGCCGGUUAACACAGAACCGAUCCAACGGCACCAAUACGGUUUACGUCGGUACCCGAACCGCCGCGAGAACUCCACCGAAGAAGACGACGACACGAAGGCGAAUUCUGGGUUUACAAGCGAGAAAAAGAUAGGGAUAAUAUCGUAAUUCCGUUAAAUUAGAAGAUAAGAGUGGAAUAUGUUUUGGCUUUGAUUUAUGAAAUGCUCUUAGGUUGCUGUGGAAGGGAAAUUGGUUCAUUCAAGAAAAAAGCUGCAAGAUCCUUGCCUGGAUAAUAAGUGCUAGGCCAAAAUCUGGUAAUGGUGUUAUUACUAAUGGAGAAGCUUCGGCUUCAAAGAAACAAAUUACUACAAUUGAUGAUGUUCUCAAGGGAUAGGUGGAAUGGCUUUGUGGGAGUCUGGGACCUCCAAGAUUUGUAGUAGGCCGCGUUCUUUGAUCUCCCAAUUGGUAUUGCUUGUUUUGAACUCAAAGACAAGCUCGUUGGAAGUCACCUCCUUUGCUUCAACUUCAAAUGUUAGAUAUGCUCUUCUAAAAGUCGAUAUAAUCCAUGUUAUUUUUGGGUC
Molecule: non-coding RNA, 622 nt
Organism: Camelina sativa (false flax)
Lineage: Eukaryota; Viridiplantae; Streptophyta; Magnoliopsida; Brassicales; Brassicaceae
Source: RefSeq, a predicted model, not a curated record